UACCUGGUUGAUUCUGCCAGUAGUCAUAUGCUUGUCUCAAAGAUUAAGCCAUGCAUGUCUAAGUAUAAGCAAUUAUACCGCGAAACUGCGAAUGGCUCAUUAUAUAAGUUAUCGUUUAUUUGAUAGCACGUUACUACUUGGAUAACCGUGGUAAUUCUAGAGCUAAUACAUGCUAAAAAUCCCGACUUCGGAAGGGAUGUAUUUAUUAGAUUAAAAGCCAACGCCCUUCGGGGCUCCCUGGUGAUUCAUAAUAACUUUUCGAAUCGCAUGGCCUUGCGCCGGCGAUGGUUCAUUCAAAUUUCUUCCCUAUCAACUUUCGAUGCGAGGGUCUUGUCCUCGCAUGGUUGCAACGGGUAACGGAGGGUUAGGGCUCGACCCCGGAGAAGGAGCCUGAGAAACGGCUACUACAUCCAAGGAAGGCAGCAGGCGCGCAAAUUACCCAAUCCCGACACGGGGAGGUAGUGACAAUAAAUACUGAUACAGGGCUCUUUAGGGUCUUGUAAUCGGAAUGAGUACAAUUUAAAUCCCUUAACGAGGAACAAUUGGAGGGCAAGUCUGGUGCCAGCAGCCGCGGUAAUUCCAGCUCCAAUAGCGUAUAUUAAAGUUGUUGUGGUUAAAAAGCUCGUAGUCGAACCUUGGGCCUGGCCGGCCGGUCCCCCUCACCGGGUGCACUGAUCCGGCCGGGCCUUUCCCUCUGUGGAACCCCAUGACCUUCAUUGGCUGUGCGGGGGAAACAGGACUUUUACUGUGAAAAAAUUAGAGUGCUCCAGGCAGGCCUAUGCUCGAAUACAUUAGCAUGGAAUAAUAGAAUAGGACGUGUGGUUCUAUUUUGUUGGUUUCUAGGACCGCCGUAAUGAUUAAUAGGGACAGUCGGGGGCAUCAGUAUUCAAUUGUCAGAGGUGAAAUUCUUGGAUCUAUUGAAGACUAACUACUGCGAAAGCAUUUGCCAAGGAUGUUUUCAUUGAUAAGGAACGAAAGUUAGGGGAUCGAAGACGAUCAGAUACCGUCGUAGUCUUAACUAUAAACUAUGCCGACUAGGGAUCGGACGAUGUUAUCAAUUGACUCGUUCGGCACCUUUCGAGAAAUCAAAGUGCUUGGGCUCCAGGGGGAGUAUGGUCGCAAGGCUGAAACUUAAAGAAAUUGACGGAAGGGCACCACCAGGGGUGGAACCUGCGGCUUAAUUUGACUCAACACGGGGAAACUCACCAGGUCCAGACACAGUGAGGAUUGACAGAUUGAGAGCUCUUUCUUGAUUCUGUGGGUGGUGGUGCAUGGCCGUUCUUAGUUGGUGGAGUGAUUUGUCUGCUUAAUUGCGAUAACGAACGAGACCUUAACCUGCUAAAUAGCCCGUACUGCUUUGGCAGUUCGCUGGCUUCUUAGAGGGACUAUCGGCUCAAGCCGAUGGAAGUUUGAGGCAAUAACAGGUCUGUGAUGCCCUUAGAUGUCCUGGGCCGCACGCGCGUUACACUGACAGAGCCAGCGAGUACCUCCUUGGCCGAAAGGCCCGGGUAAUCUUGUUAAACUCUGUCGUGCUGGGGAUAGAGCAUUGCAAUUAUUGCUCUUCAACGAGGAAUCCCUAGUAAGCGCAAGUCAUCAGCUUGCGUUGAUUACGUCCCUGCCCUUUGUACACACCGCCCGUCGCUACUACCGAUUGAAUGGCUCAGUGAGGCUUCCGGACUGGCCCAGAGAGGUGGGCAACUACCACUCAGGGCCGGAAAGCUAUCCAAACUCGGUCAUUUAGAGGAAGUAAAAGUCGUAACAAGGUCUCCGUUGGUGAACCAGCGGAGGGAUCAUUACCG
RNAcentral lists this ribosomal RNA (1799 nucleotides) under Candidatus Bathyarchaeota archaeon. RNAcentral describes it as "SSU rRNA". It matches the Rfam family "Eukaryotic small subunit ribosomal RNA". The record is from RNAcentral. Lineage: Archaea; Thermoproteati; Candidatus Bathyarchaeota.